RNAcentral lists this ribosomal RNA (199 nucleotides) under uncultured Ehrlichia sp. Its description in RNAcentral is "partial 16S ribosomal RNA". It matches the Rfam family "Bacterial small subunit ribosomal RNA", at positions 930 to 1125 of the family's 1533-position model. The record is from RNAcentral. Lineage: Bacteria; Pseudomonadati; Pseudomonadota; Alphaproteobacteria; Rickettsiales; Anaplasmataceae.
CGGUGGAGCAUGUGGUUUAAUUCGAUGCUACGCGAAAAACCUUACCACUUUUUGACAUGAAGGUCGUAUCCCUCCUAACAGGGGGAGUCAGUUCGGCUGGACCUUACACAGGUGCUGCAUGGUUGUCGUCAGCUCGUGUCGUGAGAUGUUGGGUUAAGUCCCGCAACGAGCGCAACCCUCAUUCUUAGUUACCAACAGG